This is a non-coding RNA of Pelobates cultripes (western spadefoot toad), 266 nucleotides long. The record is from the annotation of a GenBank genome assembly. Lineage: Eukaryota; Metazoa; Chordata; Amphibia; Anura; Pelobatidae.
GGACCGGCCUCAGUGCUGCAGAUGGGGUACACUUGUUGGGUCUCGGUUGGCCUCAGUGCUGCAGAUGGGGUACACUUGUUGGGUCUCGGAAAAGGCCUUGUUUUUGAAGGUUGGGGGAGGCUGAGCAGAGUAAGGGGUCAUCCGCUAGGGCAGUGGUGGUAGCUUGCUCCUGGGGAUGGUCAAUGGCCUAACAAUGAGGAUUUGGUGAUAGCCUAAUGGCGGCUUGGUGAGAGGUUGUGAGCCAGAAUAUUGCAUCCUAAUUGGGG